RNAcentral lists this ribosomal RNA (253 nucleotides) under uncultured bacterium. Its description in RNAcentral is "partial 16S ribosomal RNA". It matches the Rfam family "Bacterial small subunit ribosomal RNA", at positions 524 to 776 of the family's 1533-position model. The record is from RNAcentral.
UACGUAGGGUGUAAGCGUUGUCCGGAAUUAUUGGGCGUAAAGAGCUCGUAGGCGGUCUGUCGCGUCGGCUGUGAAAACCCGGGGCUCAACCCCGGGCCUGCAGUCGAUACGGGCAGACUAGAGUGCGGUAGGGGAGACUGAAAUUCCUGGUGUAGCGGUGAAAUGCGCAGAUAUCAGGAGGAACACCGGUGGCGAAGGCGGGUCUCUGGGCCGUAACUGACGCUGAGGAGCGAAAGCGUGGGGAGCGAACAGG